UUGCACAAGUUGUACAUGACAUACAAAAGAAAAGUUAGUUAAAUAGCUGUCCAAUUUGGUUUUGAAACAUCUCAUGCAUCAAGUGAUGGAUAAGUGGAAGAAAGAUAGUGAAAACAUAUUCAAUUGAGGAUGAAUGAUCAAUAAACCAUAUGGAGAGAGUAUGUAUACUAGAAUGACAAAGGUAGAAAGAUAGUGAAAACAUAUUCAAUUGAGGAUGAAUAAUCAAUAAACCAUAUGGAGAGAGUAUGUAUACUAGAAUGACAGAGGUAGGAGAACUUAAGUUCAGGUUUCAGAAAAGAUGAGCUAGUCUUCAGGAAUUGCAAACCAAUGCAAUAGCAAUACCUAGUCAAAAAGCAACAUUAAGGUACAUAAUUUUAGAGUAGAAAAUUUCGAUUCUUCACCAACUCAUACACAACAUAGAUAAGCAUUUUGUAGAACACAAAGAAGUAUAAAAUUGAACUUUCUUAGUAGGAAAACAAACACAUCCAUCAUAUUUCUCUUUGGCUACUACACUAAUCAACCUUCAUGCCAUUCAGUGACACACAUAAAGGAUGAAUUCCUGCCAUUCAGAGUGUCUUUCCAACAACUAAGCAUAGAAUGUUUGGAGACAUCUAUACAACGACUUUAAGGCAU
This is a long non-coding RNA of Pyrus x bretschneideri (Chinese white pear), 633 nucleotides long. RefSeq lists it as uncharacterized. NCBI's taxonomy places the organism in Eukaryota, Viridiplantae, Streptophyta, Magnoliopsida, Rosales, Rosaceae. The transcript has 2 exons. The record is from RefSeq and is a predicted model, not a curated record.